AAAUACCGAAACCCGUCAAAAACAUGGUGUAAAAGAUAAAUAUGUUCAUACAUACUUUAAAUCAGAUAACUGAAGUAUAAAAUUACUUUUACAGUGACACGUGGGCCCCCAAUUGACCAAGAAAGUGUAGGGCUACGAACCCUUACUUUCUAGGAUGAAACACCGAGAUUAAUUCUCGUCUUAAUCAACUAUCAACAAACUAUCUUG
This 207-nucleotide long non-coding RNA is filed under the name Theobroma cacao (cacao). RNAcentral's name for it is "long non-coding RNA (TCAC_LNC005869)". Lineage: Eukaryota; Viridiplantae; Streptophyta; Magnoliopsida; Malvales; Malvaceae. The record is from RNAcentral.